GCUAAUUUGGCCAAGUGGUAAGGCGUCGCACUUGUAAUGCGAAGAGCACUCGUUCGAUUCGGGUAAUUAGCA
This 72-nucleotide transfer RNA is filed under the name Pyrenophora teres f. teres 0-1. RNAcentral's name for it is "tRNA-Thr (TGT) (tRNA-Thr-TGT-2-1)". It matches the Rfam family "tRNA". From Rfam's summary of the family: Transfer RNA (tRNA) molecules are approximately 80 nucleotides in length. Their secondary structure includes four short double-helical elements and three loops (D, anti-codon, and T loops). The record is from RNAcentral. Lineage: Eukaryota; Fungi; Ascomycota; Dothideomycetes; Pleosporales; Pleosporaceae.